AUGGCUGCCGGCCCUCACACCCCAGGGCGGCGCACAGGGCCUGGGCCUGACGACGUCCUUAGGGUCCCUGAGCAGCCGGGUCCUCACGGCCCUCGGCGACCCGGGGUCCCCGGGAUGGAGCGAGGCUCUGGGCCUUCAGCAGACGCCGGGGCCCCAGACAGCCCUGACCCGAGCUCCAGAGACAUCCGAGCCCAGGCUCCGAGAGAACCACCCCCGGCCGGGUGCGUCCGAGUCAGUGCUCCCCCGAAGGCGGGGACGUCGGGCGAGAAGCAACUGCAAGGACUCGCGGGAAGAAGCCACCGGGAAUCAUGGCGGCCGCGCUCGGAGGGACGGCUGUGCACGAGACCAUGGGCUGGAAGACCCAGGAGUGGAUGCUUUUGCCCCAACGAUGGCUGUCACCCAGAAUCCCAUGGGGCCGCCACCCUCCAGCAGCUGAGAGGGACCUGGUGGAGAAUCAUAACCUUCCCUACCAUCCAGCACCUCAGAGGUGGCUCUGCUGGUGGGAGAAUCACAACUUUCCGCCUGCUCCCGACACAGGUGGCUAAUGCGGAAUCCUGGUCAACAAAGUCUGCAGCCCUGCAGCCUGCUGCGAUGUUUGCUGAGCAGCAGACACAGGUGAAGAGUUGCUCUGAUAACGCCCUGAUCUGCUGCAGCUGUAGGUGAAGGAGCAGCUUAGGAUAGAAAUCAAGAUAAGAGCAACAAACCCAGGCUCCCGCGAGAAGCCAGUGGGUGUCCAACUUGAGGGCGGAGGAAGGCCCCGCACUGCCUGGACGAGGACUGACUGCGGCCAAUUCACUCCGGGGCUGGGCGUCCACGUCCAGCCAGAACGCAGAACUUGCCGGGGUGCGCCGCUCACCCAGGCCCCGCCGUCCCCGCCGUGAGGGUGCUCAGCUCUGCGUGGCUUGACUGUGGGCCCUCAGGUGUCCUUGUCCAGGGCUCAGCCUCCCCAUCCUCUGCAGCGGGGACAUUCUAAGUGAGUGUCUUGUUUAAAAAACAAAGGUGGUAAAAACUGGAGUGUGAGAGGUUAACAAGUUGGCUCCUGCUUUACUAUGGGGGGUCCCUGGCAGCUCCUCUGUUGAAGGACGCAUGGGGCAUCUGUGCCGCUCUCGUAGGGACGUUUCCAGGGCCUUGUGUGACUGUGUUCACGUCUGCCCCUCUCACCUCUGAGCUCCUCCCCACCGCGCUUGUGAGUGGAGCAGCCCAGGAGACUGUAUGUGGGGUUUUCCAACCACAAAGCGUGGGGGCUUUGGAGUCUGACGUGCUCCUCGGCGUGGCCACAUGUGCCUCUUUCUCCACUCCUGGCCAUCAGCUGCCCUCAAGAAGUCAGCCACCCCUGCAGAUGGACAAUGAGUACGCAAAGCCAGGGAGGAAGGGCUUUGUCGGGGGAGCUUGGCGUAGGCGUCCACUUCGUCAGGGCCUCAGCUCUUGCCUGGUGAUUCCUGUGGGCUGAUGUACCCAUCACGGGGCACAGAGUGGGACGCCUGCCAUGCCGUCCUCCCUGCAAACCACAGCCAACAUCCAGGCCCCGCCUUUCACUCGAAGCUCAGUCCUUGUUCUGCCCGGGGGAUCUGGUGCAUCCUGCUGUGUCCAAGGCCCUUGCUAUGGUCCCUGGAGUGGUCUCAGGGGCUGUGCCACACCGCAGGGGCCUCGGAUGGCCCCCAUGUCUCACUGAGCAGACAACCAAUUUUCAGUAUGCAGGUGACAAGCAAGAAGCGGCGUCACCCCUAAACCUUGAGUUUCUUUGCCAAGCAGGAAGCGGUGUCACCCCUAAACCUUGAAGUUCUCCAGUCCUGGGCGUCCCCACUGCCUCCUUCCGGGUCACGUGUUCACAGAGCUAGGGGAAGACCCAGAGACUCCAACGUAUCCUCCAGGACCUGCAGAUGGGCAGAGGCAGAGGCAAGUCCAGCACCCGUGCCGUGCAGUGGAGACCCAGAGAUCAGGCCAGAUGCCUGCAUCUGUGCCGGCUAUGCCACCGCAGCAGCGCUGUCCCCAGACACCUAGAACCGUCCGCGUGCACAGGCUCGUGGCUGCCCUGGCGGAGGUGCCCCAUGCACCCCCUCAUCUGAUGUCAGGUACACUCCUGCCCCAGGCCAGUGCUGUUGCAAAGCUGGAGUUUGUGUUCAGGCUGAUUAUCUUGAACUUAGGCUAAUCUUCCA
This 2156-nucleotide long non-coding RNA is filed under the name Pan paniscus (pygmy chimpanzee). Its description in RNAcentral is "lncRNA (ENSPPAG00000044388.1)". The record is from RNAcentral. Lineage: Eukaryota; Metazoa; Chordata; Mammalia; Primates; Hominidae.